AGUGGGGAAUAUUGGACAAUGGGCGAAAGCCUGAUCCAGCCAUGCCGCGUGUGUGAAGAAGGCCUUCGGGUUGUAAAGCACUUUCAGUGGGGAGGAAAGGUUGAUGGUUAAUAGCCAUUAGCUGUGACGUUGCCCACAGAAGAAGCACCGGCUAACUCCGUGCCAGCAGCCGCGGUAAUACGGAGGGUGCAAGCGUUAAUCGGAAUUACUGGGCGUAAAGCGUGCGCAGGCGGUCUGUUAAGCGAGAUGUGAAAGCCCCGGGCUCAACCUGGGAACUGCAUUUCGAACUGACAGACUAGAGUCUUGUAGAGGGGGGUAGAAUUCCAGGUGUAGCGGUGAAAUGCGUAGAGAUCUGGAGGAAUACCGGUGGCGAAGGCGGCCCCCUGGACAAAGACUGACGCUCAUGCACGAAAGCGUGGGGAGCAAA
Molecule: ribosomal RNA, 427 nt
Filed under: Shewanella amazonensis
Lineage: Bacteria; Pseudomonadati; Pseudomonadota; Gammaproteobacteria; Alteromonadales; Shewanellaceae
Description: bacterial SSU rRNA
Rfam family: Bacterial small subunit ribosomal RNA
Source: RNAcentral